GCAGAGCCUGUAUGCAGUGCUAACCAGCCCUGGAGAGAGAUAAUGCUCCCAGUGAGGGUGUGGUCUCCAGAAAACAAAACAAAACAUUUUUGUUAUGAUGUUGGGAAUGAAACCCUGAUUGCUUUUGUGUUCUUGCCCAUGUAUCUUAAAGAAGCCUACCCAUCAAUGAGAUUUGCCAGCUUACCUUGAAAUCUUCCCAAUCAGUGAUAUCUUUUGAGAAAAAAACAACCUAUUCAAACCUACUCAGCAGUAGAAGAAAUCCAUAUAAGCUCCUUGAAUUCAUCAACCUAGCCUUUCUUUUUAAGUAUGGACAGAUGACCAAUGCUGAAACCAGGGGAAAAGCUACAGCACCAAAUAACAUAAGAAAGACGAAUAAAGAAAGCGAUAGACCAAAAGAAAUUAAAGUGAAAAUUCAGGUAAGAAAAUGAUUUUUUUCAAUUCUUAUUAAUAUCCUCAUAGAGAUUCAAAAAAAUUUAAGUACAAGGUUGUAUGCAAAAAGAGAAUAGGAAAAAAUAAUUGGAAAUUAAAAAUAUUUCCCCCCAAUUCAAUAAAAAGAUGAAUUUAAAAGUAGAACAACAAGACAAAACUAUACAAAAAAAAAAAAAAAAAAAAAAAAAAAAAAAAAAAAGGAAGAGAUGAAUGGGAGGGAGGGAAAAGGAAAAGGAACUGGAUUAUUAUAAUAAUGUGAUGAAGUGUUCAUGUUUCUUGCCUAAUACAAAAAAAAAAAAAAAAGGCAACUGGGAACUUUAGGAAAAAAACCCUAAGUCUUGUACAAGAAAGUCAUUUCCAUACAUAAAACAAAGUGAACUGUGUCAUGAAUCUGAUGAAUUAAUUUUACUUUGAUUCUUCAAUUAUUUUCUUUGGCAAAAUUUUCCUUACAUAGAAUUGCAUUUCUUUCUCCUGAGGUUCAAAUAUAGUACUUGAUUCUGCAGUGAAUAAUAUUGACCUAAUGAUAAUGUUCGAUUGGCUCUUUGUUUUUAAUUUUUCAAAUUAACCUCUAAACGAAGGUCAGAAUCUUUUAAAUAAAAGUUAUAAAUCAAGGACAUUGUGACUGUAAAUAUGAAUGCUUUGAAUACUGAUUAUUUAAAGGUCCUAGUAUAGCUGGCAAAGCUGGGAGUUGGGAGCAGAGAAGAGGUAAAGGAUAAGAUAGUGUUCUUAUUCCCUACUACACAGAGAAUUAAGGUAAUGUCUAAAAUAAUAAAACAAUAAAAGGAAUUUAAGUACAUUAUUUGAAAUUAUAUGAAAUUGUGAAAUAAUUCCCAUCAUAUGAUUUAUGUAACCAAUAAUAGAGGUAAAGAGUCAGAGUAACCAAUGACACCUGGAAGAAAGGGUAGGGAAAAAGUAAGAAGUAAUAUGAGGUGAAUUACUUAAUGGUCAUAGUGGAUCAUUGAGGGAUACCAGAGCUAUAUCAGUGGUAUUGAGAAUUAGAUGUAGCUGGCUUAACAUCAGCUACUCUAGCGGAUCCUAAUAGUUAUCUAAGUCUUUCUCCUGCACAUUUAUUAACAAGCUCAUUCUUCUAAAAUACAGUUCCCAAUGAGCCUGCUGAUUGAAUUUUUGAGAGAAUAAUUUAUACUGUUGAUUGGACAUAUAUAAGUUUAGGAAGGCAUGAAUGGACUUUGCCAAGAGUUUAUUAUGGUUAUUACGUGUUAAUGGUCACUGACUUGACUAAAUAUGUAACAGAUUGCCUUCUUUUGAACAUGAAAAGUAUAUCUGUGCAAAGUGGAAGCAAAAGACUAUAUGGCCUUAGAACUAUAAGUAAGUAAAUUUAUACUAUAAAUAUAUAUCAUAAUGUGCUAUAAAUUAUCAUCAUAUGGAGUUGUGUUGACUAUAGCUUCUAGGUUGUUUAUAUCUGGUACUUCUUUUUCAUUCUUCUUACUUUUUUUUUAAUUGAAGUCAGUUCAUUUACAAUGUUGUGUUAAUUUCUGCUGUACAGCCAAGAGAUUCAGUUUAUAUAUACAUUCUUUUUAAAAUCUUUUCCAUUAUGGUUUAUCAUAGAAUAUUGAAUUCAGUUUCCUGUGCUAUACAGUAGCACCCUGUUAUUCAUUCUAUAUAUAAUAGUUUGCAUCUGCUAACCCCAAACUCCCACUCCAUCACUCCCCCACCUCCUCUCUCUGUUGGCAACCACAAAUCUGUUCUCUAUGUGUCACGCUUCUUAUUACUGAUAUUUUUUUCUUUAACUUUUCUCUCUCUUUCUUCUUCCCUGGCAGUAGUUCAUUCAUUUUCCCCAAUAUUUUAUAUUUCUUAAAACUUUUGGAACAUUGAUUUUAAGUAAAUAAAUACUUAGUAAUACAUACAAGAAAUGUAUUUCUGUAAUACAUUAAGAUUAAAAUAAUGACAUGUGCUUAACAUGCUGUUGAAAUUUCAAGCUUAAUUUCCAAAAGAUUAAGUAAACAAAUACUAAGAAAGAUAUUGACUCACCUGUCAGUGUCAAUAUUUAUAAAAUAGCUUUCAUGUGAUCAUUAAAAGCUGGUGGUUUCAUUGGCUGGAGGAGCAUGUGAAAAUCACACCCACCUUAAACACAGGGACACAUAACCACCUGAACACCUAAGAUGAAUGUGAAAUGACUCUCUCUAGUUGGUGUUUUGAAGGGUAAAACGGCUUUUCACUUACUACUACUCUGUUCUGUCUGCUGCUAUUUUAAGCAGCAAUAAUUGCACCACCAACACCAAAACUAACAUUGUCCUCGAGAAUAUUUUAUGAAUACGGUAACACUUUGGAUGUGAACUUUUGGUCCUUAUGUUAUCUGCUCCCCUCUUCAUAUAUUUAAAAUGUCAUGUUAAUAUCUGAUAACAGUCAUAGUAAUAAUUAGAGACCAUGUCUUUUAUUAUAGUUCAAAAACACUAACCCUGGAAUGUAUUUGUAAUCUGGCUAAAGGAAAAACUCACAUGAGGAAGUCAACACAUUGAUAAGAGGAGCUUAUUGUGAAACAUUUUUGAGUGUUGCUUAGUUCCAAAACCUUGUUUUUCAGUUUCAAAAUAGAGACAGAGUUCACUGGAAAAUUUGGAGCUGAAAUAGAGCAGGCUGCAGUAGGCCCUUGAGCAAACACUGUCAGCUAUUCCUCAUGGCCAUAGUCAUUGGAGGUAGAUGUCCGUUGCUGGGUGAAUUAUUCUCAUUUCCAGUUUGCAUAUAUAGAAAUUGAGAGGACCAAAACAGUAGACAUGUCCGCAGUAGUAAAUCAGUGUCAAAAAUUGUUGAAAUUUAAACAGCAGUACUCACAAGAAGGGUUCUGAAGGAUGUUGGUUAAUUUCAUUGAGACCCUGUAUCAUGCUUGAAGGUAGAGAGACCUAUUAGAAAAGGCCACUACUUUGCAUUGCUCCACAAUUCAUUUAUCUCUUUAAAACCAAAGGGGAAAAACCACAACUUGAUCUCAUAAAACUCACAGUACCAUCCCAAACAAUAUCUUACUUGAUAGGAUGUUUGUUUAGGUUCCCAAAUAGUUGAGCAAGUUAGUGCCUGUUCUUGCCAACUUCUGAGCUUAAUAUGGAAAAACAGCAUAAAUAGGCUAUCAGGGAUAUUCAAGAGCUGAGAUUUAGUGGGGAGGAGUAAAUCACACCAAUAAACAUCUGUACAUUAUAAUGUGGAUUUUGUGUGGUUCAGAUGUGCAUUAGGCGCUAUAGCAGGUCAGAUGUAGCAGAGAGAUCAACCAGGAGCUAGGGAAGCCUUCCUGGGAAAGGUAAUGCUUUAGUUGUGCAGCUUCGGUUUCUUUGAUUAGUGGUAUUUAUUGUCUUGUUUAAAAAUACAAAUAAUACAUGAUAAUAUAAAUAAGAGAGUAAAACUCAGCUCAAAUCUCUUUACCCAAAUUCUGGUUUCAUUGCUUUCUUACUGAAUGAACCUGAUUUCUCAUAUAUAAAAACGGGGAUAAUAAUAGUAGUACUUAUCCCUUGGAGUUACUAGGACUGCUUAAGUUAGUAUAUGUAAAGGGUUUGGAAGAAUACAUGGAGCAUAAUAAGAGGUCACUAAAUAGUAGCUAUUAUUGGACAUCCAAUUCACAUGUUAUGAGGGAUUAUUUCUAGACUCUAUUCUGUUACAGUGACUGGAGUCUAGAAGUUCAUGGGGAAAUGCCAAGUCUAGCUUUAUAACUUAAGUGUGGACAAGUUCUCUCAUUUUUUUUUUCAGAAUUUUUCUUAUUCUUUUAGCAUUUUUAUGUUUUUAGAUGAAUUUCACAGUCAUUUUUUUUUCAAUUUGUAGCAAGCUAAUAGAGAUUUUUGAUUGUCAUUAUAGAGAAUAGAUCCAGUUAGGGAAAAAUUGAGUUCUUCAUAAUUUUGAAUUUUCCUUUCCACUAAAUAGGUGUAUCAUUCUGUUUAUUCAAGUGUUUCUUUGUUUUCUUUAAUAAAGACUUAUAGUUUUAUUCAUACAAGUCCUUUUCACUUUUUGAUACUGAAUAUUCUGAGCUAAGUCUUAAAGGAUAAACAGGAAUAGCCAGACAGAAAAGGAGAAAAAUUGUUUGGUAGUACCUUGUUAGCUGCCAGAAGUCAUAGUUUUGCUUGGAGCACUUCUAGUUCUAGAAAUAAUAUUCUUCAGUCAAUCCACAUAAGAUGCAAGCAGUAAACUUAACUGGGAAAAAUAUGUGCUCUUUCCUGCAAAGUAAUAGUGGGCAGGCAGCCAGUGUAAGAAAUAUUUAUGCAGCUGUUGCCUGAACUAAUCCAAGAAACUUCUGGGGACUGGCAACAACAUACAUGCUCAGCUUCUUCCGAAACUAUUUACUCAUUAAAAAAAAGAAAACAAACAAACCCAAGGUCCAAUAUGCUUUCAACCCUUGUAUAUGAACCAAGGAGUUUGAAUAUGGAUUGAUGUGUGUUUGUGGGUGUUUUGAACAGAGCAGGAACUAGGCAAUUUUGUGAAGUGGUUCCAGUUUUCUUUCAUUUGCCAUUUGAUCUGAUUUUCAGCCCAUCUCACCUCAACUUCAGAACCAUGGCCUUGAAAUAUCAUCGCUAUGGUUUAAUUUCCUACCCACAUAUUUACAUUCAGUGCCCUGUUCAAGCUAACACUAAGCAAGGGCUUCUCCCUCAGAUACCUAGUCAUGAAGAGCAGGUCUUGGUUAAUCUGUGCUUAGCCAAGUGAUAAACAGCUAUGUGGUCCUCUCCUGUAGAAUGUGCCUCAAAGCAAUUUUUAUUCAGAAUUAUCCUUCAGAUCUCAGAAUUUUAAUGAGGUUUAUGAUCCUCCUUCCUGUGACACAUUGUUCCUACUCUUUACAUCACUGAGGGUUAUAGGAUUGUAUCCUUUCCUUCUCUAAGCCCUUAACAAUAUUAUGUACAUUUGGGUAAGGGGACUCACUUCAUUCUCAGGCAUGAGUCCAACCUACAUGCCAGCUUACAACCUAACUGUUGAAAAACAUAAUAAUUAGGCCAUUGCUUUUCUCGGUCCUACCAGGCCUAUUGACCUGAGAUCUCCUAUGAAACAACCAGGAAACCAGACACUAUCCAGCACUGUUCUCAUGUUAAUUAAAUUUUUACACCUCUCCAACUUCAAAAAUCCUGGCGGUUCCAUUAAUAAAAUUGUUCCUUCUACUAUUCAACGUAGCCUUACAGGGACUGUAGGAAGAAUUACAAAAAGGUAAUUAGAAUACCACAAUUUUUAAAAAAGAUUCACUAAUUUUUUAGGCAAAAAACAAAUAAAAAAUGUCCUAAACUUAGAAGUUGCCUUCUGCUGUUCUUCAUCCCUCUCCUCCAAGUCCUCAGCCAUUAGCAGCCCAUGGACUCUUCACAAGAAGAUUGUUAAGAUAUUUUAAAGAUAAGGUUAUAUAAUCUAGUGAUCAACGUAAUCUUAACAAAAUAGAUGUUUAGAUCAAAUAAUAAUUCAACCUUCUGCUCAUCUAUUGGUUGAGAAAUUUAUAACACAAUUUCUUUGUGUGUCAGGUUGAUAUGCCAGUAUCAUCUGUAGUUAAUAGUCUUUAAUUAGUUAUCUAAUGAAAGCCUAGAGCAAGCCAUUGAAAGGGCAUAUCGGGGCAUAGAGAGUUGAAUAGAACAGAAUAUUCAUGUUUUAUAAGCUUGGAAUGUAGUAUACAGGAUAAGACAAACAUGCUUAUAACACUAAAGCAAGGCCUACUGGGGAGAAAGUCAGCUAAGACAUUUGUUGAACAUAUACUGUGAACCCAUCACUCUGUUAGGGUUGUGUUAAGUGGAACAAUAGAGGUUUCCAAUGACAUAUUAAGCCUCAGUGAUCCUGGCAUAUUCUCAGAA
This 6179-nucleotide long non-coding RNA is filed under the name Sus scrofa (pig). RNAcentral describes it as "lncRNA (ENSSSCG00000057586.1)". Lineage: Eukaryota; Metazoa; Chordata; Mammalia; Artiodactyla; Suidae. The record is from RNAcentral.